UUUCUUCCAUGUGCAACCAUUGUUUGGGGUUGUCCUCACCAGCAAGGAAAGCAAUCAGGUCAAGGGCAGUCAAGCGUGUCUGUCUCCUUGACGAUACAAACACAAGAACAGGCUUCUCUGGGGAGUGCGUUUUUAUGGCUGUUUAAAAACGAUGACUUCUCCUAAAAUCACACACGAGUCAGCCUCCAUCAAUAUCAAGAUCAAUAGAAUGUCACGACCUUUCCUAGAGAAACCCGUGUACAACAGAAAAUUCUACACUGCCUGAAUCGGCAACACAAGACACCUCAGCGGACUCUAAACUUGGUCAGCACUGUCUCUUGUUUCCUGGCAGUUUCAGUCUCCACAGACCAUGAGUCACACAAGGAAGCUAGCUAUUUUUGCUCUCCUUCAUCACUUCCAGUUACAGUAUAGCCUAUAGACUAAAUACAGAAUCUUUGAUAUGCAAGAUACGUCUUCUUUAACUAAUACAAGCCUUUGUAGAACUUAAUUAAAGCUGGUGUAGCAUUACUCUAUAUAAUUUGCCUGACUAUCUUCACAUUAAAACCUUAUGAGCUGA
Ostrea edulis (European flat oyster) is the source of this 556-nucleotide long non-coding RNA. RefSeq lists it as uncharacterized. The record is from RefSeq and is a predicted model, not a curated record. The transcript is spliced from 2 exons. NCBI's taxonomy places the organism in Eukaryota, Metazoa, Mollusca, Bivalvia, Ostreida, Ostreidae.